RNAcentral lists this ribosomal RNA (953 nucleotides) under Salmonella enterica. RNAcentral describes it as "partial 23S ribosomal RNA". It matches the Rfam family "Bacterial large subunit ribosomal RNA", at positions 678 to 1547 of the family's 2925-position model. RNAcentral also lists the same sequence under 2 other names. Lineage: Bacteria; Pseudomonadati; Pseudomonadota; Gammaproteobacteria; Enterobacterales; Enterobacteriaceae. The record is from RNAcentral.
CGAGUCUUAAUUGGGCGUUAAGUUGCAGGGUAUAGACCCGAAACCCGGUGAUCUAGCCAUGGGCAGGUUGAAGGUUGGGUAACACUAACUGGAGGACCGAACCGACUAAUGUUGAAAAAUUAGCGGAUGACCUGUGGCUGGGGGUGAAAGGCCAAUCAAACCGGGAGAUAGCUGGUUCUCCCCGAAAGCUAUUUAGGUAGCGCCUCGUGAAUUCAUCUCCGGGGGUAGAGCACUGUUUCGGCUAGGGGGCCAUCCCGGCUUACCAACCCGAUGCAAACUGCGAAUACCGGAGAAUGUUAUCACGGGAGACACACGGCGGGUGCUAACGUCCGUCGUGAAGAGGGAAACAACCCAGACCGCCAGCUAAGGUCCCAAAGUCAUGGUUAAGUGGGAAACGAUGUGGGAAGGCCCAGACAGCCAGGAUGUUGGCUUAGAAGCAGCCAUCAUUUAAAGAAAGCGUAAUAGCUCACUGGUCGAGUCGGCCUGCGCGGAAGAUGUAACGGGGCUAAACCAUGCACCGAAGCUGCGGCAGCGAACGUAUCACCCAAGACAACUUUACGGAGUUGACGAUUGACGGAGCGAAGCGACGUCAAAGCGUUCAUUAAAGUCGAGUUGGCUUAGGGAUACGUUCGUUGGGUAGGGGAGCGUUCUGUAAGCCUGUGAAGGUGUGUCGUGAGGCAUGCUGGAGGUAUCAGAAGUGCGAAUGCUGACAUAAGUAACGAUAAAGCGGGUGAAAAGCCCGCUCGCCGGAAGACCAAGGGUUCCUGUCCAACGUUAAUCGGGGCAGGGUGAGUCGACCCCUAAGGCGAGGCCGAAAGGCGUAGUCGAUGGGAAACGGGUUAAUAUUCCCGUACUUGGUGUUACUGCGAAGGGGGGACGGAGAAGGCUAUGUUGGCCGGGCGACGGUUGUCCCGGUUUAAGCGUGUAGGUGUGUGUUCCAGGUAAAUCCGGUU